Molecule: small nuclear RNA, 123 nt
Organism: Microtus ochrogaster (prairie vole)
Lineage: Eukaryota; Metazoa; Chordata; Mammalia; Rodentia; Cricetidae
Source: Ensembl
GAAAAGGGCUGCUGUCGUGGUGGCACAGGUAGGGGACUUGUUUGCUCUGCAUGCAGAAUCGACUUCAAGAGAUUUCAAAAGCCUAAUUUUUGUUACCUGGACAGCUGAUGAUCAUUGGUACCA